AAGUCGUAACAAGGUUUCCGUAGGUGAACCUGCGGAAGGAUCAUUAUUGAAUUAAGGGGGGUUGUAGCUGACCUAGGAAGGGUAUGUGCACACCUUGCUUUUUCCAGAACAAAUCACACCUUGUGCACCUUUUUGUAGGCAUGGUCAACCGUGUCUACGUUUCCUUAUUGCACACACACAAUUAGAGUACAGGGAUGUCGCUUACUUUGUACAACUUUCAACAACGGAUCUCUUGGCUCUC
This 241-nucleotide unclassified non-coding RNA is filed under the name air metagenome. Its description in RNAcentral is "partial contains small subunit ribosomal RNA, internal transcribed spacer 1, and 5.8S ribosomal RNA". The stretch from base 1 to 46 matches the Rfam family "Eukaryotic small subunit ribosomal RNA", at positions 1786 to 1831 of the family's 1831-position model. The record is from RNAcentral.